Long non-coding RNA from Lolium perenne, 1825 nucleotides. RefSeq lists it as uncharacterized. Lineage: Eukaryota; Viridiplantae; Streptophyta; Magnoliopsida; Poales; Poaceae. The record is from RefSeq and is a predicted model, not a curated record.
CGGCCCGUUAAAAAAUCAUCUCCGCCGACGGCGGCGGCCCAGGCGGCUCAAGGCGACGAUACCACGCAUGGCGGAUGCCUCUCCUCUUCCACCGCCUCGCCGGUCACGUUCGAGGCGUCUCAUGGCUGGUACCCCAAAGUCCUGAAGGUGGACAAGGACGGGUUGGAGGCGCGUGCGGCGGCGGUCUCGCUGGAGCCGGACAAGGAAGGGAUGGACGCGCUAUUGGAGUUGGUGCUGGCUUCUUCUCCAUGUGCUCCUCCCCCGCCUCCCCGCCGGCGGCGGUCUCCAAGCGGCGACACUGUCUCCCGCACGGACCCGCCUUUAGGACCAUGCCGCUCCACAUGGACGUCUUGUAUCGCGCGGUCGCGCCGGCGAGAAGCUCCAGCUAGAUCCCGGGUCAGCACUUUUUUACUCACGCAUCAUUUCCAGCGGAUCCUCUCAGUUACACUGAUGAAAUUUCUUCAGGGCGUGUCCACCUACUGUCCUCAUCUGAUUUCCAUUGGAAAAUUAUCUAAGUACUAAAACAAUAUUGUUAAAGAAACCAGAUGUAGGUGUUGUUUGCUUGCUUGGAUUUGAUAAUUAGAACUUCCCAUGCAAAUAGCAAAUCAAUGACACAAUAGAGAACAGGGGAUCGAGUAGGGGCAAAGUGGCAUAUAAGGGACAAGUUAACAAGCCAGACCGAAUUUAUAAACGGUUGUAGUUGAUCUUGUAAGUUCCCCUCCGCGACCCUCUCUGGUUUACACUUCUAUAAGGAAAUACGUGGUCUGUGGUCUGUAGUUUGUAUUUUCCUUGUUCAUGCUAUUCUGGAGGAGGUGGAAUUUUGGAUGUGGGCAUCAAAUUAAUUAGCGGUAGACAAUAUAUGUAUAUACAUGAAAAAUGUUCUGUGAUGGUUAUGCAUCUAGCCGCUUACACCACUUGUACCUUUUUCUGAAACUCUAUACUAGAACAUAUGCUAAUUUUCUCUUUCUGUCUCUUUGUAUAUCGCCGGAAGUUGCCAGGUUUCAAAAUGUGGCUUUUUUGUGGGCAAUCUAGAGAAGUAAUAGCUUGAAGGGUUUUGAACCACCUGACCUGUGGAACCAUCAGGUUCAGCUAGAACAUCUUGAAAGACAAAGCUUUAGGACAAAAUUAAUAUUAACAUUGCAGAUUAUGUAAUUCACUUGCACAUAUUUCAUGUUGUUGUAUGUCCUAUUAAUUUCUUGCAUGCUCAUGAUUCAUAAUUCAUACCAUGUGUCUGUGCUAAACUUGGUGCACCGGGUAAUGAUUAACAUUUCUCCAUUACUGGUAUAUAUAACGAAGUAUGGAUCAGUUGUUGUGUAUGCCUGGGGCGUUGAUUUGGCCGCCCCUGACCAGCGAGGAGCAUGUAGAACAAAUGAUGCAAGCUCAUAAUAGGAGAAAGAAAUGUGACUUGUACGUUGUCAGGAAUGGUCCACCCUCAGAUAAUAUUGAUGAUGGCAUGAGUGAAGAGAGUCAAUUCUACCGAACAUCGAUUCAUGGGCCGAUAGAGGCAAGUCGGACAUGGACAAAGAUGGGACCUCGUCACGAAUGAAGCAACUAGCACUUAGCACUCACAAGAAGGCGUGGCCUUUUAGCAGUUGUGACGCAGUAGGGCAAAAUCAUUCGGUUUCACAAAGAACUUAAUAACCAGGAUGAUGUUGGAUGGUUUUUUUUAGUACGCUUUGAGUUUUUUUUUAAUUUUGUCAUUGCUCUGACCUCGCCGAAGGGGUAUCCUUAGUGACAUUUAGCUCAGCUUUUGUUCUCCUGAAGGAUGUAACAAUACCAACAUUUUAAUCUAUCAUAUCAUCAUAUCAUUUUUUGUUUUCUCGAA